This 614-nucleotide ribosomal RNA is filed under the name Protaetia cuprea. RNAcentral's name for it is "partial 16S large subunit ribosomal RNA". It matches the Rfam family "Bacterial large subunit ribosomal RNA", at positions 1844 to 2735 of the family's 2925-position model. The record is from RNAcentral. Lineage: Eukaryota; Metazoa; Arthropoda; Insecta; Coleoptera; Scarabaeidae.
UUUAAAGUCUGACCUGCCCAAUGAGGAUUUGAAUGGCCGCGGUAUUUUGACCGUGCAAAGGUAGCAUAAUCAUUAGUUUUUUAAUUGAAAGCUGGAAUGAACGGUUGGACGAGAAAAUAACUGUCUCAAUAUAAUUUGAAUUAGAAUUUUAUUUUUAAGUUAGAAAGCUUAAAUAAAUUUAAAAGACGAGAAGACCCUAUAGAGUUUUAUAUUUAUUAUUAUAUUAAUAGUUUAGUAUAGUAUAAGUUUUUAUAUUAAUAAGUAUUUUGUUGGGGUGACAGAAAAAUUUAAUUAACUUUUUUUUUAUAUUAACAUUGAUUUAUGAGUGUUUGAUCCAUUAAUUAUGAUUAAAAGAUUAAAUUACCUUAGGGAUAACAGCGUAAUUUUUUUUGAGAGUUCUUAUCGAAAAAAAAGUUUGCGACCUCGAUGUUGGAUUAAAAUAAACUUUUGGUGUAGAAGCUAGAAAGUUAGGUCUGUUCGACCUUUAAAAUUUUACAUGAUCUGAGUUUAAACCGGUGUGAGCCAGGUUGGUUUCUAUCUUUAAAAAUAUAUUAUAUUUUAGUACGAAAGGACCAAAUAUAAGUAACAUUUAUUUUAUUUUGAUUAUUAUUAUU